This 301-nucleotide ribosomal RNA is filed under the name uncultured bacterium. RNAcentral describes it as "partial 16S ribosomal RNA". It matches the Rfam family "Bacterial small subunit ribosomal RNA", at positions 509 to 807 of the family's 1533-position model. The record is from RNAcentral.
CAGCAGCCGCGGGAACACGGAGGGGGCUAGCGUUGUUCGGAAUUACUGGGCGUAAAGCGCACGUAGGCGGCUUGGUAAGUUAGAGGUGAAAGCCUGGAGCUCAACUCCAGAAUUGCCUUUAAGACUGCCGAGCUAGCAGGUGAGAGAGGUAAGUGGAAUUCCGAGUGUAGAGGUGAAAUUCGUAGAUAUUCGGAAGAACACCAGUGGCGAAGGCGACUCUCUGGUCUGUAACUGACGCUGAGGAGCGAAAGCGUGGGGAGCGAACAGGAUUAGAUACCCCUGUAGUCCCUGUCUCUUAUAC